UCCUUUUGGUGGGGUAUGGCCUACCAAGGCGACGACGGGUAGCCGGCCUGAGAGGGCGACCGGCCACACUGGGACUGAGACACGGCCCAGACUCCUACGGGAGGCAGCAGUGGGGAAUAUUGCACAAUGGGCGAAAGCCUGAUGCAGCGACGCCGCGUGAGGGAUGACGGCCUUCGGGUUGUAAACCUCUUUCAGCAGGGAAGAAGCGCAAGUGACGGUACCUGCAGAAGAAGCGCCGGCUAACUACGUGCCAGCAGCCGCGGUAAUACGUAGGGCGCAAGCGUUGUCCGGAAUUAUUGGGCGUAAAGAGCUCGUAGGCGGCUUGUCACGUCGGAUGUGAAAGCCCGGGGCUUAACCCCGGGUCUGCAUUCGAUACGGGCUAGCUAGAGUGUGGUAGGGGAGAUCGGAAUUCCUGGUGUAGCGGUGAAAUGCGCAGAUAUCAGGAGGAACACCGGUGGCGAAGGCGGAUCUCUGGGCCAUUACUGACGCUGAGGAGCGAAAGCGUGGGGAGCGAACAGGAUUAGAUACCCUGGUAGUCCACGCCGUAAACGUUGGGAACUAGGUGUUGGCGACAUUCCACGUCGUCGGUGCCGCAGCUAACGCAUUAAGUUCCCCGCCUGGGGAGUACGGGCCGCAAGGCUAAAAACUCAAAGGAAUUGACGGGGGCCCGCACAAGCAGCGGAAGCAUGUGGCUUAAUUCGAC
Molecule: ribosomal RNA, 703 nt
Filed under: uncultured Actinomycetes bacterium
Lineage: Bacteria; Bacillati; Actinomycetota; Actinomycetes
Description: bacterial SSU rRNA
Rfam family: Bacterial small subunit ribosomal RNA
Source: RNAcentral